RNAcentral lists this unclassified non-coding RNA (277 nucleotides) under fungal sp. Its description in RNAcentral is "partial internal transcribed spacer region". The stretch from base 1 to 46 matches the Rfam family "Eukaryotic small subunit ribosomal RNA", at positions 1786 to 1831 of the family's 1831-position model. The record is from RNAcentral. Lineage: Eukaryota; Fungi.
AAGUCGUAACAAGGUUUCCGUAGGUGAACCUGCGGAAGGAUCAUUACCAAUCCAAAACUUUAUUACCCCUGUGAACUUGUAACGUCUUUGGGUGAAAGCAGAGACUUAUUUUCAAAGGUUGGGGCUUUUGCCCAAAUCUAGGGAAUGAUGUCUUCAGAUUCACCCAUAUGUUUUACAAACCACUUAAAUUUUGUUGAAAACUAUCUUCUCAGCCUCACGGCUCGAAGAUUAUUUAUAAAACAAAAUACAACUUUUAACGGUGGAUCUCUUGGCUCAU